RNAcentral lists this unclassified non-coding RNA (335 nucleotides) under soil metagenome. Its description in RNAcentral is "partial contains 5.8S ribosomal RNA, internal transcribed spacer 2, and large subunit ribosomal RNA". The stretch from base 1 to 120 matches the Rfam family "5.8S ribosomal RNA", at positions 35 to 154 of the family's 154-position model. The record is from RNAcentral.
GAUGAAGAACGUAUCGAAAUGCGAUAAGUAAUGUGAAUUGCAGAAUUCAGUGAAUCAUCGAAUCUUUGAACGCACAUUGCGCCCAUUAGUAUUCUAGUGGGCAUGCCUGUUCGAGCGUCAUUUCAACCCUUAAGCCUAGCUUAGUAUUGGGAAUCGACUUUACUGUCGUUCCUCAAAUUCAACGGCGGAUUUAUAGCAAUCUCUGAACGUAGUAAUUUUUUUCCUCGUUUUUGAAAUACUAUAAACCUCAGCCGCUAAACCCCCAAUUUUUCUAUGGUUGACCUCGGAUCAGGUAGGAAUACCCGCUGAACUUAAGCAUAUCAAUAAGCGGAGGA